CGGGGUGAGUAAUGUAUGGGGAUCUGCCUGAUGGCGGGGGGUAACUACUGGAAACGGUAGCUAAUACCGCAUAAUGUCUGCGGACCAAAGCGGGGGGACCUCCGGGCCUCGCGCCAUCAGAUGAACCCAUAUGGGAUUAGCUAGUAGGUAAGGUAACGGCUUACCUAGGCGACGAUCCCUAGCUGGUCUGAGAGGAUGAUCAGCCACACUGGGACUGAGACACGGCCCAG
Molecule: ribosomal RNA, 230 nt
Filed under: uncultured bacterium
Lineage: Bacteria
Description: partial 16S ribosomal RNA
Rfam family: Bacterial small subunit ribosomal RNA
Source: RNAcentral